RNAcentral lists this ribosomal RNA (161 nucleotides) under Staphylococcus aureus. Its description in RNAcentral is "partial 23S ribosomal RNA". It matches the Rfam family "Bacterial large subunit ribosomal RNA", at positions 2762 to 2925 of the family's 2925-position model. The record is from RNAcentral. Lineage: Bacteria; Bacillati; Bacillota; Bacilli; Caryophanales; Staphylococcaceae.
GGAUAAGUGCUGAAAGCAUCUAAGCAUGAAGCCCCCCUCAAGAUGAGAUUUCCCAACUUCGGUUAUAAGAUCCCUCAAAGAUGAUGAGGUUAAUAGGUUCGAGGUGGAAGCAUGGUGACAUGUGGAGCUGACGAAUACUAAUCGAUCGAAGACUUAAUCAA